Ostrinia nubilalis (European corn borer) is the source of this 733-nucleotide long non-coding RNA. RefSeq lists it as uncharacterized. The transcript has 3 exons. The record is from RefSeq and is a predicted model, not a curated record. Lineage: Eukaryota; Metazoa; Arthropoda; Insecta; Lepidoptera; Crambidae.
UUUCGAUUUUCUUUCGUAUCGAGUUCAAAUACUAGGCGUGACGAAAGAUGGAUUUUGUAUGAAAUAACGUAGUACGAACCUAAUUUUGACAAUCAACGUCGUUUCGUUGUCGUUGAAAUCAUCGAAUGUUGUGUCACUGUCAAUUUUGUUGUGAGAAGAUUACGUUGAUAUAAAUUUUACGUGUUUUUGAGGCUUAAAUGUGGAGAUUAUGUGGUCGGCGAAUUUAUUUCCUUGUUUGGCAUCAUUUAGAUUGUUUAGAUGCUUUAAGUUAAGAGAUUAGGAAGCAUCCCAACAGCAGGUAUUUGACCACAAUCGCACAUGAUGUUAAGAGGGAUGCAGUCUAGGAUGGUACAUAUCUGCCCUGUAAGAUACCUACUUAUGUGACAAAUUGCCGGAAAGAUAGUCUUAUGGCAACAAAAAGAGUGUCCUUGGAACACAAGGUUAUAUUAUGUGCUAUGCAUUAAGAUGCAUCCAGUUCAUACCAAGGCACUGAUGGUAUGAAGAAGCAUUUGGAAUUACUUAACCAAUGCUCUCAAUACCCCCAACAUACUCGGAGAAGUAGGUAGGUACUCAUGCCUACAUAAGAUUUAUCCAUGAACUAUUUUAUACAAAUGUACAUAUGCAUUCAGUUCUUAAGAUCAUACAGAACAAAACACAACAGGGUGAUUCCAUACCUUUGCUCGUAAGUGUUUUAGCCAGAAAGUUUUAGAUCUUAAUAAACUUAUUUACCUAA